This 478-nucleotide ribosomal RNA is filed under the name uncultured bacterium. RNAcentral's name for it is "partial 16S ribosomal RNA". It matches the Rfam family "Bacterial small subunit ribosomal RNA", at positions 28 to 523 of the family's 1533-position model. The record is from RNAcentral.
GACGAACGCUGGCGGCAUGCCGAACACAUGCAAGUCGAGCGAGCAGUUCCCUUCGGGGUGAAGCUAGCGGCGGACGGGUGAGUAACACGUGGGCAACCUGCCUCAUAGAGGGGAAUAGCCUUCCGAAAGGAAGAUUAAUACCGCAUAAGAUUGUAGCUUCGCAUGAAGUAGCAAUUAAAGGAGCAAUCCACUAUGAGAUGGGCCCGCGGCGCAUUAGCUAGUUGGUGAGGUAACGGCUCACCAAGGCGACGAUGCGUAGCCGACCUGAGAGGGUGAUCGGCCACAUUGGGACUGAGACACGGCCCAGACUCCUACGGGAGGCAGCAGUGGGGAAUAUUGCACAAUGGGGGAAACCCUGAUGCAGCAAUGCCGCGUGAGUGAUGACGGCCUUCGGGUUGUAAAGCUCUGUCUUCGGGGACGAUAAUGACGGUACCCGAGGAGGAAGCCACGGCUAACUACGUGCCAGCCGCCGCGGUAA